This 509-nucleotide ribosomal RNA is filed under the name uncultured bacterium. RNAcentral's name for it is "partial 16S ribosomal RNA". It matches the Rfam family "Bacterial small subunit ribosomal RNA", at positions 39 to 507 of the family's 1533-position model. The record is from RNAcentral.
GGGGGGGGGGGGCGGGGGGCGGGACAGGGGGAGGGCGGACGGGGGUGGGGCCCGGGUUUUGUUGGGGGUGGGGGGAGUGGCGAACGGGGGGGUGACACGGGAGUAACGUGCCCCGCACUGCGGGAUAACCGCGUGAAAGGGUGGGGAAUACGGGGGGGUCUGGCCGGCGCGCAUGGGGGGGGUUGGGAAGAUUCGACCGGGUUGGGUUGGUUUGGGGGGGGGUGGGCGCGCGGCCUAUGAGCUUGUUGGGGGGGGGAUGGCCUGCCAAGGCUUUGACGGGUAGCCGGCCUGAGAGGGUGGGCGGUCACACUGGGACUGAGACACGGCCCAGACUCCUACGGGAGGCAGCAGUGGGGAAUAUUGCACAAUGGGCGCAAGCCUGAUGCAGCGACGCCGCGUGAGGGAUGGAGGCCUUCGGGUUGUGAACCUCUUUCGCCAGUGAAGAAGGUCCUGCUCUUUGUGGUGGGGUUGACGGUAGCUGGGUUAAUGAAGCGCCGGCUAACUACGUG